CUGGGAAGAGACUGCCCUUCCCGGGGUUAGCCAAAUACUAGAGACAGUAAACAGCUUGUUGGUGAGCCUACCUUUUAUAUACAAACCAAACAAUCCUGAGUCCAUACCCCCGACCACCUCCAUAUUUAACUCUCACACACUAAGCCAAUAUUUCCUCUGCCAUAAUCAACCCAGGGCCAGGUACCGGACAACUAGGGAUAGCCUCUAUACCCCAGAGCUAACUGGAAUUAUUCAAACUAGCCAGUCCUAAGCGUUUACCCUGCCCUGACUUGCCUUUCCCACAGAAACCCCAAUAAAGGUCAUGGCCUUGGCCUUCUCUCGCUCCUUUCUGCCUCUGACUAACACUGGUGCUUUCCCCUGUGGCCCUACAUGGCACACUGUGCCUCCUGUUUCUAGAGGAACAUUAAACUUCUUUCAAAGGCAUUGACCCCUCCAUGUCAUCACACAGUCACCUUUAUAAAUUAAGACUCAGGCACAGAUCACCCCUGAGAGAUCCUGAUCCAAAACCACCUAAGCCAUUCCUGGAUACAUGACUCACAGAAACCUUGGGAGAUAGUAAAUACUUAUUGCAGCAACUAAGUUUUGGAUAAUUUGUUUCACAGCAAUGGAUAAUACAGAUGGUCACGUGACCUAGUUCUGGCUAAUGAGAGAUAAAGGAAAGCAGGCUGAGGUAUUUCUAGAAGCUUUCCUGAUAAAAGGAUCAGAAAUGAGAGGAGAGCUCAGGGGUAUCACCCUCUUUGAACAAGGAUGAUGCUUACAGAAGUGACAGUCAUCUUGGGACCAUGAGGCACUGAAAUAAAAGGAUAGAGGAGUGAAAAGUAGGAAAAACUUGUGUCUUUUAUAACAUCACUAAGCUGUGGAACAACUUUGUGACAGCCUGCAUCCAUAUUUGUAGACAUAGAAACAAUAAACGUCCUAUGGUUUAAGCCACUGUAUCCUGCAACUUGCAGCUUAAUGCAUCCCUAACAGAUAUAAUCAGCAUGCACAUUAGCGUCUCACUUAACUGAAGUAACUUAUGCAAUGACUUCACUUAUCUAGAAUCUGAAACGAGGCUAAAAGGGCAACUGAGGACCAAAACCAACACCACAAUAUCCAUACCAAGCACCUUACUGUAAGGCAGUGAGGAAGGCACCCUAUUCCCUCAAACCACUCGAACGUUUCCUCUCGUGAGGAGGAGAGCCUUGACCCAGUGCUGCGACCUCCCCCCGGGUCAGGAAGCUCUGCCUGCACAGCAUUUCCUGCGUGUGGGAAAGAAACAGGAUGAGCAGAUAAAUCCCCCGAGGCUUAUUUUCAAGUGUGUGAGGCCUUCUGUUUGGUGAGUCUGCAGCAGCCCUGGCCAAGAUGACCAACGGUGACGUGUGUUUCUAAAAGUAAUCAAAAAGGAUGACCGUGCACCCAUGAAGCACAAGGCUGGAUGUGGUAGAGGAGAAGAGCACGGGUCAUUGUCCCUGCUCUUUAGGACUGCGUUGGUUUGACUCUUCCCAGAAGCAGACCCUAAGAUAAGUAUUUAAGUGCAAAUAAUGUAUCUGGGAGGCAAUUUGGGGAAUCUCUGCAGGGGAACCGGGAAGUGAAACAGGGACGGGAAGGUGGCCAAUGAGGGAAGCAUUAUCAAGGUGGCUACCUUGGUGGGAACCCAGAGUGCAACCCCGCUAGGGGACUCUCAGAGACAGUGUAGAGCAUGCCUCAGUCACCCCAACAAAGGGGUGAGGGAGCUGGGGUGUCUAUCCACCAAAUCUCUGUCCUUUGUUGGUUGAGGGCUGUUUCGGGGGGCACCAACUCGGGGCACUUCUGGCUCGGCCGCCUGCAGGCCCAAGUUGCUCCUGAGGCCAGAACAACACCAUUCACAGUAAGCAGGCUUUUGUGGGUAGAGGCGAUUCUCAGCGGGGAUAUGGGCGGAGUCUGCUCUAGGGGCUGACCACUAAUUGAUUUUACAUUCACAGGAAAAGGCAGACACAGGCCCAGGAGACAUGUCUCCCCGUCCCUGGGUGAGGAUGUGGAGGGCGUAGGCAGUGUAAUAGUGGGGGCUUUUCCUGUCCAGGCUCCCAUCUCCUCAUGCUGAGAAAUCACGUUGCCACACUGUUGGUAGAGUCAGCUAGUAUGCGCAAACAGCCAUGUCUUCCUCUUUGACACUCAGCUAGACUACAUUUCCCAGCCUCCCUUGCAGUUAGGAGGCAUCAUAUGAUUGAUUCCAGCCAAUGAAAUAUGAGCAGAAGGGGCGUUUGCCUCUACCAGGCUUGGAUCAGAAGAAACCUCCCACGCACUACCCUUUUUCUCUCCUUCUCUUU
This 2285-nucleotide long non-coding RNA is filed under the name Equus asinus (donkey). RNAcentral describes it as "lncRNA (ENSEASG00005036496.1)". Lineage: Eukaryota; Metazoa; Chordata; Mammalia; Perissodactyla; Equidae. The record is from RNAcentral.